UUUACACAUGCAAGUCGAACGGCAGCGCGGACUUCGGUCUGGCGGCGAGUGGCGAACGGGUGAGUAAUAUAUCGGAACGUACCCAGUAGCGGGGGAUAACUACCCGAAAGAGUAGCUAAUACCGCAUACGCCUACGGGGGAAAGGGGGGAUCGCAAGACCUCUCACUAUUGGAGUGGCCGAUAUCGGAUUAGGCUAGUUGGUGGGGUAAAGGCCUACCAAGGCGACGAUCCGUAGCUGGUUUGAGAGGACGACCAGCCACACUGGGACUGAGACACGGCCCAGACUCC
This 288-nucleotide ribosomal RNA is filed under the name unidentified marine bacterioplankton. RNAcentral describes it as "partial 16S ribosomal RNA". It matches the Rfam family "Bacterial small subunit ribosomal RNA", at positions 48 to 339 of the family's 1533-position model. The record is from RNAcentral.